This 556-nucleotide ribosomal RNA is filed under the name uncultured bacterium. RNAcentral describes it as "partial 16S ribosomal RNA". It matches the Rfam family "Bacterial small subunit ribosomal RNA", at positions 355 to 932 of the family's 1533-position model. The record is from RNAcentral.
UGGGGAAUAUUGGACAAUGGGCGCAAGCCUGAUCCAGCCAUGCCGCGUGAGUGAUGAAGGCCUUAGGGUUGUAAAGCUCUUUCGCCGGUGAAGAUAAUGACGGUAGUCGGAGAAGAAGCCCCGGCUAACUUCGUGCCAGCAGCCGCGGUAAUACGAAGGGGGCUAGCGUUGUUCGGAAUCACUGGGCGUAAAGCGCACGUAGGCGGAUUGUUAAGUCAGGGGUGAAAGCCUGGAGCUCAACUCCAGAACUGCCCUUGAUACUGGCAAUCUCGAGUCCGGAAGAGGUAAGUGGAACUGCGAGUGUAGAGGUGAAAUUCGUAGAUAUUCGCAAGAACACCAGUGGCGAAGGCGGCUUACUGGUCCGGUACUGACGCUGAGGUGCGAAAAGCGUGGGGAGCAAAACAGGAUUAGAUACCCUGGUAGUCCACGCCGUAAACGAUGGAGGCUAGCCGUUGGCGAGCAUGCUCGUCAGUGGCGCAGCUAACGCAUUAAGCCUCCCGCCUGGGGAGUACGGUCGCAAGAUUAAAACUCAAAUGAAUUGACGGGGUCAUAGCUG